CCGAGUGCGGGCCCUUUAGGCCCAACCUCCCACCCGUGUCUAUCAUACCUGGUUGCUUCGGCGGGCCCGCCGCUAUGGCUGCGCUAGGGGACUAACUCCCUCCUAGGCUCGCGCCCGCCGAAGACCCCCUCUGAACGCUGUCUGAAGGUUGCAGUCUGAGUGGUUUAGUUAAAAUUAGUUA
RNAcentral lists this unclassified non-coding RNA (181 nucleotides) under uncultured Eurotiales. RNAcentral describes it as "sequence contains ITS1". Lineage: Eukaryota; Fungi; Ascomycota; Eurotiomycetes; Eurotiales. The record is from RNAcentral.